GUGAUGGGUUCGCUUCGAAAGAGGAGGUAGGAGUGGCCAAUGAUAUGAAAGUAUUUCUAAAUGGAUCUAAGUUGGUGGGUAAGAUCGAGAGUGAAGCUAUCUCUAAGAUUCCAAAGGUUCAUGGAUGUUUGAGAGAGCAAGCGAAGUUGGUGCACUCGAGAAUGCGGGUUGAGUUGAAUUCUAGCGUGAAAAUUGGUAAAGGAGGAUCUUUGAGUUCUGGGACAGAGGAUACCAUUCGGACCGCAUUGUUGUCAUUUGCAGCCAUGCUGUGGGACUUGGGAAAAUGUAGUCUGGACAGAGGAAAAUUAAUUUUGGGUUCAAGUAGCGACGAGAAUAUAAAGGC
RNAcentral lists this unclassified non-coding RNA (343 nucleotides) under Hevea brasiliensis (rubber tree). Lineage: Eukaryota; Viridiplantae; Streptophyta; Magnoliopsida; Malpighiales; Euphorbiaceae. The record is from RNAcentral.